GGGAGGAGCCGUCAACACACGCAGUGUGAUCACAUGACGGCGACGAACUGCCGCCGAGCCGGAGGCGAGGGGGCGUCACAUGAA
Molecule: non-coding RNA, 84 nt
Submitted as: unclassified sequences
Source: Rfam